GCCGAAGUGGCGGAACUGGCAGACGCGCACGACUCAAACUCGUGUGAGCUUCGCUCGUGAGGGUUCGAUUCCCUCCUUCGGCA
This 83-nucleotide transfer RNA is filed under the name Thermoflexales bacterium. RNAcentral describes it as "tRNA-Leu". It matches the Rfam family "tRNA". Rfam says of the family: Transfer RNA (tRNA) molecules are approximately 80 nucleotides in length. Their secondary structure includes four short double-helical elements and three loops (D, anti-codon, and T loops). The record is from RNAcentral. Lineage: Bacteria; Bacillati; Chloroflexota; Thermoflexia; Thermoflexales.